GUGAGGAAUUUUCCGCAAUGGGCGAAAGCCUGACGGAGCAAUGCCGCGUGAAGGAUGAAGGCCUAUGGGUUGUAAACUUCUUUUCUCAGAAAAGAAUUAUGACGGUAUCUGAGGAAUAAGCAUCGGCUAACUCUGUGCCAUCAGCCGCGGUAAGACAGAGGAUGCAAGCGUUAUCCGGAGUGAUUGGGCGUAAAGCGUCUGUAGGUUGUUUAAAAAGUAUUCUGUCAAAGAUUAGGGCUUAACCCUAGAUAGGCAGAAUAAACUUUUAAGCUAGAGUAUGGUAGAGGCAGAGGGAAUUCCCGGUGGAGCGGUGAAAUGCGUAGAUAUCGGGAGGAACACCAAAGGCGAAGGCACUCUGCUGGGCCAAUACUAACACUGAGAGACGAAAGCGAGGGGAGCAAAUGGGAUUAGAAACCCCGGUAGUCC
This 426-nucleotide ribosomal RNA is filed under the name uncultured bacterium. RNAcentral describes it as "partial 16S ribosomal RNA". It matches the Rfam family "Bacterial small subunit ribosomal RNA", at positions 354 to 796 of the family's 1533-position model. The record is from RNAcentral.